Molecule: ribosomal RNA, 411 nt
Filed under: uncultured bacterium
Lineage: Bacteria
Description: bacterial SSU rRNA
Rfam family: Bacterial small subunit ribosomal RNA
Source: RNAcentral
AGAGUUUGAUCCUGGCUCAGAGCGAACGCUGGCGGCAGGCCUAAUACAUGCAAGUCGAACGGAUCCUUCGGGAUUAGUGGCGGACGGGUGAGUAACACGUGGGAACGUGCCCUUUGGUUCGGAACAACUCAGGGAAACUUGAGCUAAUACCGGAUGAGCCCUUCGGGGGAAAGAUUUAUCGCCAUUGGAGCGGCCCGCGCCUGAUUAGCUAGUUGGUGGGGUAAUGGCCUACCAAGGCUACGAUCAGUAGCUGGUCUGAGAGGAUGAUCAGCCACACUGGGACUGAGACACGGCCCAGACUCCUACGGGAGGCAGCAGUAGGGAAUCUUGCGCGAAUGGGCGAAAGCCUGACGCUGCCAUGCCGCGUGAAUGAUGAAAGGUUCUUAGGAUUGUAAAAAAUUCUUCAGCGGG